AAAAGAGAAGGAUGGAGGCUCUGUGGAAGCCUUAGAUACACUAUCACAUCUGUCCUGCUUCGUGGUCCUGCGCCCUAGCCCCAAGAUACUCCUGAGUUGGGCAUGGUGGUGCCCCCUUUAAUCCCAGGGCUUGUGAGGCAAAGGGAGGCAGAUCCCUGAUGAAUGCCAGGCCCGCCUGCUGUACCUAGCCAGUUUGAGACCACCCAGAGCUACACAGAGAGACCCUGUCUCAGGAAAAAAAAAAAAAAAAGCUCUCAAAAGCCUCUCUACUUCUGCCCACGGUCCAUUUCUAAGUCCCCUCCGUCCCAGCAAGUACUCACCAGAGUCCUCCUUGCCAGACUCGGGCUCUGGCUCCUGACCAUCAGGGAGCAGGGAAGCCUCUGUAGCUCCUGGGCCUGCAGUGGACUGAGGAGCUCGGACAACUCGGCCUGCCCGGGCGCCUCCCCGGCCAGCCACUUUUCGCUUCUUCUCGGCUUUGCUAGCCAUCUUGAAGGCAAAACCUGCAGGUACACGGGGGCAGGAAGUCCACCUCCAGAUCCCACCUCUAACCCAGCCUCCAGGUACACAUGUUCCCUCUGGACUCAGAAACUUGAGUGGGACACCUUAGAUGAUCAUCUUUUCUGGGGGUACCCUGCUGUACCCUCGGAGCAUACCCAAUAGAACCUUGGCUCCCAAGGGUCACAGCUCAGUGGUAAAGUGCUUGCUUGGAAUGUGUAUACAAGGCCCUGGGUUAGGCUCCAAACACCCAAUUUAAGAAGGGAGGGGGACCAUGGAGGCCUCUCUUCUUCCCUGGGAUAACCCAAACUCUUCACAGAAUCAGAUUAAAAGUCAAAGCCCCGGGCAGGCUAGAGGGCUCAGAACGUUAAGGUGCUUGCCAACCAGUCUAAGGGCCUGAGUUCAAUCCCUGGGGUUCAUGUGGUAUAGAGUGCACAUGCACAAGUGUUCUCUGCCCUGCAAGUACACACCACGGCAUGCACACACACACAUACACACACACAAACUGCAAGUAGGGGAAAUCAAGGUCUCAUAAGCCAUUAGGAAUAAACAAAUAACAGACACAGGAACUGAAAAGAUAGCUUUCUCCUCGUCAGGACCACAAGAGUUUGGUUCCCCAGCACCAGGUGACUCACAACUGUCUGUAACUCCAGUUCCUAGUGAUCUGACUCCCUUCUUUGGGUAUCUACACACGUUUGCAUACAUAUAUAUGUACAUAUACAUUAAAUAUAUAUAUAUAUAUAUACACACACACACAUACAUACACAUACACACAUACACACACACAUAUAUAUAUAUCAGAAACCGCACUAAGGGAGGUUAUGGAAAACGUCUAUGUUCACCCAGGCCUUCAGCUACACUAUCCUGCAGUCUCCUGAAUAAGAGAAGGCACAGUCCCGGUGAUUGCCACCAUCGUCGCUGUUACUGUGUCAAGUCACUGAGGCAAACCCAGAUGAUUUUCCUAUGUAGCUCCUCUCCUCCUC
RNAcentral lists this long non-coding RNA (1478 nucleotides) under Mus musculus (house mouse). Its description in RNAcentral is "long non-coding RNA chr11:69544056-69545534". Lineage: Eukaryota; Metazoa; Chordata; Mammalia; Rodentia; Muridae. The record is from RNAcentral.